GAAAAACGUUUGGCCUCAUAGGGCCUUGCCAAGGCUAGUGACUGUGCCAAGGAGCAGAGUUGGUACUGCCCGUGCUAUCCUAAGUGCAAGGCCAGUGGUACCCUUACUUUGAGCUUGGGCAUUUCUCUGUGGAGAGGCUUUUUAUGCUGCAUGAGCCUCCUCCUCGCUCUUUGCUCUGUGCCCUUUGCGCUUUUCUGAGAAUCCUUCUCCUCUGGGUAGGGCUGCUGAAGCAUUCCUGAAUUCCCUGAGGGUAGCUCAGGCAAACUAUACUCUUCUGGAGAAGACCAGGGCCCCUUAAGACACCUUGUUAGAGUAUCUUCCCUUUCCCAGGUCUCAAACUAAUUCUCUAUGGCUCUGGAUGGCAGCAGCUUCACAGCUAAGUGCCGAUCCCACAGUGAAGGACGUUCGGUUUAAUUCUGUGUAGAAAUAAGUUGGGCUAAAUCACAGAAAUGUGCGUUUCCAGUGAUAUGAAAAUAAUGGUGGCUUAAAGUCAUUUGGAUCAAGGAUGGAAACGAUAAUAUAUUUAAAUCAAGAGAAGAGUGUCCAGCUGCUUUUAACUUUCCUCACUUGCCUGAAGCUGGUGUGACUUGUCUUCCCAAUGGUCUCCAAGAGACUAAGGACUACCCCCAUUAUUUAUCUUUCCAUCAUAACUCCAGAAGUGGACACAGAUCCCCAUCCUACAGGAGGACAGAUGUCCCAACAGAGUAGGGAAAAUGCUGGCAUAGCAGUGACUCAUAGUGUGACCAUGGAAAAUUCCAGUUAUAAAGCAUGAAAAAGUUAGAUUUUCCCUGAAGAAGCGUCUCCCAAUCGUUCCUCCCACUCAUCUGCUCUCCCUAUAUGUCCAGAACUGGCUCUGCAGGAAGGAAGGGAAGCGGGGACCCCCAUGACUGUGGUGGGGAGAGGCUAGCUACAAACAGCUGGGUUAAUCCACUUGGGCAUUGCCAGUAUUGCGUUUGUCAUGGGUGACUGUUCAAUAAUGUAAGGCCAGCUGCUGUAACAGAAAAUCCCUGCAAUUUUUGUAGAACAGCUCAGUGGAAAUUUUUACUCAUACAGGAGGCAUUCUUGCUGGGCGGAGACAGAUGAUCAUGGCACAGGCCACUACAGUCUUUUGAGGGCCUGCACUAAGAUAGUCAUUGCUAUUUCAUCACUGAAGUUACACAGAUUAUCUUGAUUUCUAGCUCCAGCCAAUAGGCAGAGGACGAGUCAUAGAUGAGGUGCUAUGGUUCAAAUCUAGAAAGAGAAUGCGUGGUUUCUCCUUAAGUACUAGUACCAGGUCUGAGGGACAUGGCCAAUAGGAGAAAUGCUAGCAUAGGUAGAACUAGUAUGUGCCCAUAAGGAAAAGCAGAAUAUCAUACAGAAACUAGUUCGCCAGUUUCUGGCAUAGUAGCCAAAGUCCAUUUCCCAGACCGACAGGUAUUAAUAGUAGGCCAAUCAUAGGUGCUGGUUGAUGGGCAGUGGAUAGUCCUGAAGUCUGGAAUUAACUCGGGAGAACCAGGCAGUGAUGCGAAGUAGGAGGGCCAGAGCCAAAAUACUGAAUGGGUCUAAACAGGAAAAGCCAGUAUGGUUUCAGGAACGGUGUGGAAGCUCAGAUAAGCUUUUGAUUCUUUGGCCAAUCCAACCAAUCUGGGAAUGAUGUUCUGGACAUGAUGUGUAAAGUACAAUUCUAGACCAUAUCACGUGAGGGCAAAGGAUUGCUAAUCUGGGAGCUGAGUUAACUAGGAGUCUCUAGCUGGUUCAGGUGACCGAGACUGAGAAGUAAAGCAUUACAUACAGCACUUCCCUUAUUCAUGAAUCCAGGAAGCACAGAGCCAUCUCACUUUAUUUUUCACUGGGAAACCUGGCAACCUGUGAACCACGAGGCCAUGUGAACUGGCUAUUGUGUGGAUGAUAAACUAGUGUAUAUAAAGCCAGCAGUACCUCUCGGCAGCCCUCUGGAAUCAUCUAGCUCUUCUAAUAUCUCCCAGUAGUGGGACACCUUCUAGCUGAGAAUGUAGAAGUACUUAGGUUUGGCUAUGUCAGUUCAGAGAAUGGAAAUGGUCGUGAGUCUUAGCAAGACCUUCUCCUUCUAUGAUAGAUCAAACUGCGUGUGUGUUGCCCUGGGUUUUUGCAUGCACAAAGCUAACUGUGGCAGCUAUGUAAUAGCUACCCAAUAGCUGCCUCCCUUCUUUCAUUACUUCUGUACUUCCCAGUUGAGCUUUCCUUCUCUUCUCAGUAGAUCUAUUUGACUAUGAAGUUUUAUCCCAGACUAGUCCUCAUGGAGCAUGAAACAAGAGCUCCAUUUAUCCAGAAUAUGGACCAGAAUGGGGACUAGACUGUGUGGGGAGGUCAUUUAUCCAGAAUGUGGACUAGACUGUGUGGGGAGGUCAUUCUGAUACAAAAAUAUAUUUCUUUAGGUAGUCAUUAUGGGAUAAUGAUAAAAGUAUACCUUGGGAACUUAUACAGGUUACCAGGUUUCCUAACCUUUCUCUCUUAAUUCUCAAUCUUGACACAUGCUGGUUUGCAUGGUAAUUCUCCCUUGCUUUGGACCCAACAAAAAACUUAUUCCAAAUCAAUUAUGGUGAUAGUCUAGGGAUUUUUAUAUGCCUUAUUUUUAGUACAAAAUCUUUUUAUUGCAAUUUCUUAUACACUUAUAAAAGUGAAAGUGUCUUACUGAGUUCAUCAUAUUACUCUUGUUAUUCAUGGGUGACCUAGGUCUCCUUUCUUCUUCCUUCUCCUUCCCUUGCCUCUUUUCACCAUUCUUCUGUACCUUCUCCUAACCUUGUCACUUAGCCUUUUUCCCUCAUCUUUUCCACUUCCCUUUUCUUAGUUAAUAAAUGAAACUAAUCACCCAAUGAACUAACUCUACAGUUUUAUAAUGAGUGCUUUGGUGUAAGUGUGCUGUCCGUUCCAAACUUGUAUGUUGAAAUUUUGACCCUCAAGGUAUUAGGAGAUGAGGGACUUUGGGGUUAACCCUCGUGAAUGCUGCAUUAGAAUUCACUUUUCUGUCAAUGUAAUAAAAUUCUGUGAUCAAAAACAA
Long non-coding RNA from Grammomys surdaster, 3016 nucleotides. RefSeq lists it as uncharacterized. The transcript has 2 exons. The record is from RefSeq and is a predicted model, not a curated record. NCBI's taxonomy places the organism in Eukaryota, Metazoa, Chordata, Mammalia, Rodentia, Muridae.